GCUCUUGUGGCCAAAUUGGUAAAGGCGUUUGUCUGAAGAACAAAUUAGAAAUAAAUGCAGGUUCGAGUCCUGCCUAGAGCA
This 81-nucleotide transfer RNA is filed under the name Aureispira sp. CCB-E. RNAcentral describes it as "tRNA-Phe". It matches the Rfam family "tRNA". From Rfam's summary of the family: Transfer RNA (tRNA) molecules are approximately 80 nucleotides in length. Their secondary structure includes four short double-helical elements and three loops (D, anti-codon, and T loops). Lineage: Bacteria; Pseudomonadati; Bacteroidota; Saprospiria; Saprospirales; Saprospiraceae. The record is from RNAcentral.